GCUGGGCGUGGUGGCUCACGCCUGUAAUCCUAGCACUUUGGGAGGCCGAGGCGGGCGGAUCACUUGAGGUCAGGAGCUCAAAACCAGCCUGGCCAACAUGGUGAAAUCCCGUCUCUA
Molecule: non-coding RNA, 117 nt
Filed under: Chlorocebus sabaeus (green monkey)
Lineage: Eukaryota; Metazoa; Chordata; Mammalia; Primates; Cercopithecidae
Source: Rfam by way of RNAcentral